GACGUAGGGCGCGAGCGUUGUCCGGAUUUAUUGGGCGUAAAGAGCUCGUAGGCGGCUUGUCGCGUCGUCCGUGAAAACCUGCGGCUCAACCUCGAGACGUCGGCGGAAACCCUCUGGCUAGAGUCCGGAAGAGGAGAAUGGAAUUCCUGGUGUAGCGGUGAAAUGCGCAGAUAUCAGGAAGAACACCCGUGGCGAAGGCGGUUCUCUGGGACGGUACUGACGCUGAGACGCGAAAGCGUGGGGAGCGAACAGG
This 253-nucleotide ribosomal RNA is filed under the name uncultured bacterium. Its description in RNAcentral is "partial 16S ribosomal RNA". It matches the Rfam family "Bacterial small subunit ribosomal RNA", at positions 524 to 776 of the family's 1533-position model. The record is from RNAcentral.